AAAAUAGGAAUAUGCAGCAGAAAAAUAGGACUAAAAACCACAUUAAAAGAUAUGUAGUAUCAACAUAGGAACUCGAUCAAACAUAUAAACAUUUUUUUCUUUUUCUAUAUUUUUUGUAUGAAACCUUCUAAUAUAUAUACUUGGAGUAAGUCUAAAACUAUUUGGCUAUUGAAAAAGUAUUUUCCAACGACAUGACAAGAAGAUCAGAUGACUACUUUUCUGAUCUUCGCCACAAAGAGUCCACUAGUUUGCGAUGGGUCAAACCGCCAUGU
This 272-nucleotide long non-coding RNA is filed under the name Trifolium pratense (red clover). Its description in RNAcentral is "long non-coding RNA (TPRA_LNC009643)". The record is from RNAcentral. Lineage: Eukaryota; Viridiplantae; Streptophyta; Magnoliopsida; Fabales; Fabaceae.